RNAcentral lists this ribosomal RNA (881 nucleotides) under Lactiplantibacillus plantarum. RNAcentral's name for it is "bacterial SSU rRNA". It matches the Rfam family "Bacterial small subunit ribosomal RNA", at positions 552 to 1434 of the family's 1533-position model. The record is from RNAcentral. Lineage: Bacteria; Bacillati; Bacillota; Bacilli; Lactobacillales; Lactobacillaceae.
UAUUGGGCGUAAGCGAGCGCAGGCGGUUUUUUAAGUCUGAUGUGAAAGCCUUCGGCUCAMCCGAAGAAGUGCAUCGGAAACUGGGAAACUUGAGUGCAGAAGAGGACAGUGGAACUCCAUGUGUAGCGGUGAAAUGCGUAGAUAUAUGGAAGAACACCAGUGGCGAAGGCGGCUGUCUGGUCUGUAACUGACGCUGAGGCUCGAAAGUAUGGGUAGCAAACAGGAUUAGAUACCCUGGUAGUCCAUACCGUAAACGAUGAAUGCUAAGUGUUGGAGGGUUUCCGCCCUUCAGUGCUGCAGCUAACGCAUUAAGCAUUCCGCCUGGGGAGUACGGCCGCAAGGCUGAAACUCAAAGGAAUUGACGGGGGCCCGCACAAGCGGUGGAGCAUGUGGUUUAAUUCGAAGCUACGCGAAGAACCUUACCAGGUCUUGACAUACUAUGCAAAUCUAAGAGAUUAGACGUUCCCUUCGGGGACAUGGAUACAGGUGGUGCAUGGUUGUCGUCAGCUCGUGUCGUGAGAUGUUGGGUUAAGUCCCGCAACGAGCGCAACCCUUAUUAUCAGUUGCCAGCAUUAAGUUGGGCACUCUGGUGAGACUGCCGGUGACAAACCGGAGGAAGGUGGGGAUGACGUCAAAUCAUCAUGCCCCUUAUGACCUGGGCUACACACGUGCUACAAUGGAUGGUACAACGAGUUGCGAACUCGCGAGAGUAAGCUAAUCUCUUAAAGYCAUUCUCAGUUCGGAUUGUAGGCUGCAACUCGCCUACAUGAAGUCGGAAUCGCUAGUAAUCGCGGAUCAGCAUGCCGCGGUGAAUACGUUCCCGGGCCUUGUACACACCGCCCGUCACACCAUGAGAGUUUGUAACACCCAAAGUCGGUGGG